UACAGAGGGUGCAAGCGUUAAUCGGAAUUACUGGGCGUAAAGCGUGCGUAGACGGUUAUGUAAGUCGGGUGUGAAAGCCCCGGGCUCAACCUGGGAAUUGCAUUCGAGACUGCAUAGCUAGGGUGCGGAAGAGGGAAGCGGAAUUUCCGGUGUAGCGGUGAAAUGCGUAGAUAUCGGAAGGAACACCAGUGGCGAAAGCGGCUUCCUGGUCUGAGAUUGACGCUCAGGCACGAAAGCGUGGGGAGCAAACAGG
This 253-nucleotide ribosomal RNA is filed under the name uncultured bacterium. RNAcentral describes it as "partial 16S ribosomal RNA". It matches the Rfam family "Bacterial small subunit ribosomal RNA", at positions 524 to 776 of the family's 1533-position model. The record is from RNAcentral.